This 73-nucleotide transfer RNA is filed under the name Ictidomys tridecemlineatus (thirteen-lined ground squirrel). RNAcentral's name for it is "Spermophilus tridecemlineatus (thirteen-lined ground squirrel) tRNA". It matches the Rfam family "tRNA". From Rfam's summary of the family: Transfer RNA (tRNA) molecules are approximately 80 nucleotides in length. Their secondary structure includes four short double-helical elements and three loops (D, anti-codon, and T loops). The record is from Rfam by way of RNAcentral. Lineage: Eukaryota; Metazoa; Chordata; Mammalia; Rodentia; Sciuridae.
GGGGACAUGGCUUAGUUGGUAGAGUGCUUGCUUCACAUGUACAAGGCCCUGGGUUCAAUCCCCAGCACCCCCC